AUACGGAGGGUGCAAGCGUUAUUCGGAAUCACUGGGCGUAAAGGACGCGUAGGCGGGUUGGCAAGUCAGAUGUGAAAUCCUACAGCUUAACUGUAGAACUGCAUUUGAAACUGCUAACCUAGAGUAUGGGAGGGGGAGAUGGAGUUAGUGGUGUAGGGGUAAAAUCCGUAGAUAUCACUAGGAAUACCGAAAGCGAAGGCGAUCUCCUGGAACAUAACUGACGCUAAGGCGUGAAAGCGUGGGGAGCAAACAGAAUUAGAAACCCCAGUAGUCC
RNAcentral lists this ribosomal RNA (274 nucleotides) under uncultured bacterium. RNAcentral describes it as "partial 16S ribosomal RNA". It matches the Rfam family "Bacterial small subunit ribosomal RNA", at positions 523 to 796 of the family's 1533-position model. The record is from RNAcentral.